This 253-nucleotide ribosomal RNA is filed under the name uncultured bacterium. Its description in RNAcentral is "partial 16S ribosomal RNA". It matches the Rfam family "Bacterial small subunit ribosomal RNA", at positions 524 to 776 of the family's 1533-position model. The record is from RNAcentral.
UACGUAGGGGGCAAGCGUUGUCCGGAAUCAUUGGGCGUAAAGCGCGUGUAGGCGGCUAUGCAAGUCGGAUGUGAAAGCCCUCGGCUCAACCGGGGAAGUGCACCCGAAACUGCAAAGCUAGAGUCUCGGAGAGGAUCGUGGAAUUCUCGGUGUAGAGGUGAAAUUCGUAGAUAUCGAGAGGAACACCGGUGGCGAAGGCGGCGAUCUGGACGAUGACUGACGCUGAGACGCGAAAGCGUGGGGAGCAAACAGG